GUCUAUGGCCAUACUACCUUGAAUGUGCCCAAUCUCAUCUGAUCUUGGAAGCUAAGCAGAGUUGGGCCCGGUUAGUACUUGGAUGGGAGAAGGCUAUAGCAAAUGUGACAGCCUGGAAU
This 119-nucleotide ribosomal RNA is filed under the name Microcebus murinus (gray mouse lemur). Lineage: Eukaryota; Metazoa; Chordata; Mammalia; Primates; Cheirogaleidae. The record is from RNAcentral.